GCACAGGAAUACGGCAGAGAUGUCGUAGUCCCGCAAGGGAUCUGUGAACAGGUGCUGCAUGGCUGUCGUCAGCUCGUGCCGUGAGGUGUUGGGCUAAGUCCCGCAACGAGCGCAACCCUUAUCAUUAGUUGCUACGCAAGGGCACUCUAAUGAGACUGCCGGUGACAAACCGGAGGAAGGUGGGGAUGACGUCAAGUCCUCAUGGCCCUUAUGGGUAGGGCUUCACACGUCAUACAAUGGUCGGUACAGAGGGUUGCCAAGCCGCGAGGCGGAGCCAAUCCCACAAAGCCGAUCGUAGUCCGGAUUGUUCUCUGCAACUCGAGAGCAUGAAGUCGGAAUCGCUAGUAAUCGCAGGUCAGCAUACUGCGGUGAAUACGUUCCCGGGUCUU
Molecule: ribosomal RNA, 389 nt
Filed under: uncultured Thiobacillus sp.
Lineage: Bacteria; Pseudomonadati; Pseudomonadota; Betaproteobacteria; Nitrosomonadales; Thiobacillaceae
Description: bacterial SSU rRNA
Rfam family: Bacterial small subunit ribosomal RNA
Source: RNAcentral